Molecule: transfer RNA, 72 nt
Filed under: Minisyncoccota bacterium
Lineage: Bacteria; Bacillati; Minisyncoccota
Description: tRNA-Arg
Rfam family: tRNA
About the family: Transfer RNA (tRNA) molecules are approximately 80 nucleotides in length.
Source: RNAcentral
GCUCUCGUAGUUUAAUGGAUAAAACUCCGGUUUGCGGUACCGGUACUCUAGGUUCGAUUCCUAGCGAGAGCA